CAUUUCAUCUUCAAAUUUAAAGAACUACUAUUCAUUGCUAUUGGUAUUAUUUUAUUAGCAAAAUCAUAUCUUUCGCCCGCAUUCUCUUUGUUUUCUCUCCCUUACUCUUACUCUGCUUUUCUUCCUCUCCCAAGUUCCCAACAGCCCGAAAUCUCAUUUCUCUUCCUCUCCAUUUAUCCUCGAUUCUCAGAUUCUCUUUCUUCCUCUUUGUUUCCUCUUCCUUUUUUUUGCCAAGCUAUCCAUUCCCUUUGUCGUGAGGUUUAAUUGCUGAAGAAUCAAACCUCUGGUACGUAUGGUCCCAAUCGAUUUUAACUACCGAAGCCAUCUCGGUUGUCGUUGAAAAUGACCUCGGUGGCAGUGAGGUUGCGAACGCAGCAUUGUUAUGCCCCAUGGAAUAAACUGAGAAAUUCAUGAGGAGAAUCAUCGCGUACACAUCAGAGUGGGAGUACGAGAAAAGACCUGUUGAAAUAGCCAUACGAACGAAGGGUGCAUCUCUCUCUAAGCCCGAGCGAAAAUCCCCUAUAGAAGGAAGUUGAUUAUGUGAAGCAUUUAUGGAAGAACAGGCAAGAGCUGAAGGUUGAAAAUGCUGGAUCAGGUAAGUUAGCAGAAAAGGUUGCCCCACCAGUUGAAAACGAAAACCAAGAGUAAUUGAACAUAUUGGUGCUUAUGUAGACAUACAAGGUUUUCUAGUUUACUGCAAUACUCAGGUCUUUUAGAUCAAGUGGUUUUCCAUCAGCUUGAUGUGUCUGACCCUGCUAGCAUUACUUCUUUCGUAGAUUUCAUCAAAACCCAGUACGGGAAACUUGAUAUCUUAGUAUAUAUGAUUCAAAACUGAUUUCUUUAUCUAA
Long non-coding RNA from Juglans microcarpa x Juglans regia, 848 nucleotides. RefSeq lists it as uncharacterized. NCBI's taxonomy places the organism in Eukaryota, Viridiplantae, Streptophyta, Magnoliopsida, Fagales, Juglandaceae. The record is from RefSeq and is a predicted model, not a curated record. The transcript has 3 exons.